Molecule: ribosomal RNA, 253 nt
Filed under: uncultured bacterium
Lineage: Bacteria
Description: partial 16S ribosomal RNA
Rfam family: Bacterial small subunit ribosomal RNA
Source: RNAcentral
CACGUAGGGCGCAAGCGUUGUCCGGAAUUAUUGGGCGUAAAGAGCUCGUAGGCGGUCUGUUGCGUCCGCUGUGAAAACUCGGGGCUUAACCCCGAGCCUGCAGUGGAUACGGGCAGACUAGAGGUAGGUAGGGGAGAAUGGAAUUCCUGGUGUAGCGGUGAAAUGCGUAGAUAUCAGGAAGAACACCAAUGGCGAAAGCAGCUCUCUGGGACGGUACUGACGCUGAGACGCGAAAGCGUGGGGAGCGAACAGG